Molecule: ribosomal RNA, 1352 nt
Filed under: Phyllodactylus nocticolus
Lineage: Eukaryota; Metazoa; Chordata; Lepidosauria; Squamata; Phyllodactylidae
Description: partial 16S ribosomal RNA
Rfam family: Bacterial large subunit ribosomal RNA
Source: RNAcentral
CUAACCAGUUAGCCGGCCCUACCCCGAAAACACCCUUCUAUUUUCCCCCAACUAAAACAUUCGCCAAAGAGAGUAUUAGAGAAAGAAACCUAACCCCGCGCAAUAGCCAACAGUACUACACAGGAACACUGAAAGAACAUUAAUCACUUUAAGCAUAAAACAGCAGGGCUCAAAGCCCGUACCUCUUGCAUCAUGGUUUAACUAGUCCCCCCCAGAUAAAGUGUACUAAAACCUGCCCCCCCGAACCCAGACGAUCUACCCCAGAGCAAUCAUUACGGAUGCACCCUCUCCUGUGGCAAAAGGACGGGAAGACUUUGGGGUAGCGGUGAAACGCCAAUCGCGCCUGGUGAUAGCUGGUUGCUCAAUAAAUGAAUCUAAGUUCACCCCUAGCUCAAGCCUCCCCGAGUCUUCCCACAACUGUUUCAACUAGGAGUUAUACAAACAGGGUCCAGCCUGUCUGUAACCGGAUACAACCCCNUCAUGGAGGAUCAGCAAAACCAAGACCAACCCGUAGGCCCUUAAGCAGCCACCCCAAAAAAUCGCGUCAUAGCGCCCGCAAAUAAAACAACACGCAUCCCUACACACCCCCAAUAAAAACUUGAGCCACCCUAGCCUUUUUAACCCUAGGGGAAAUGCUGUUAAAACUAGUAAUUCGAACCCCUUCUCUCCCGCACACCCCUACACCGACACGGAUCACCCCGCCGGUAAUUACCAACCCUAAACCGCACCACAACCCUGUCACCCCGACACAGGCGUGCCUCAGAGAAAGGCAAAAAGUCGCAGAAGGAACUCGGCUAACCCUGCCCCACCUGUUUACCAAAAACAUGGCCUUUAGCCAGACAAGUAUUAAAGGUCUCGCCUGCCCAGUGAUCCACUUUAAACGGCCGCGGUACUCUAACCGUGCAAAGGUAGCGUAAUCACUUGCCCCCUAAAUAGGGGCUCGUAUGAACGGCUAAAUGAGGGCCCAACUGUCUCCUGCAACAAGCCAAUGAAACUGUUCUUCCAGUACAAAAACUGGAAUACACCCACAAGACGAGAAGACCCUGUGGAGCUUUAAUUACAUUACCAAGCCUCCCGCCCAUGGUAACACCUUUAAGUUGGGGCAACUACGGAGAACUACCAAACCUCCACGAACCAAGGCCACUAAGCCUGUCUUUAAGGCCUACAAGCCAAAGACAACCCACAUAGACCCAGCACAGCUGAGCAUCGGACCAAGUUACCCCAGGGAUAACAGCGCCAUCCCCCUCAAGAGUCCCUAUCGCCAGGGGGGUUUACGACCUCGAUGUUGGAUCAGGACACCCAGGUGGUGCAGCCGCUACUAACGGUUCGUUUGUUCAACGACUAACGUCCUA